Molecule: long non-coding RNA, 554 nt
Filed under: Androctonus crassicauda
Lineage: Eukaryota; Metazoa; Arthropoda; Arachnida; Scorpiones; Buthidae
Source: RNAcentral
CGGUACAGUGAUUCUACCUUUUUUUUUUUUUUGCAUAUUUUACGCCCCAUUUCAAUCAGGGAGAUUACUAAAGGGCGGGGCAGUUCCAACUACGGGCUACACCCACACCCGUGGUGUAGCCCGUAGUUGCCGGAUGAUGAAGGAUGGAAAUCGCGGAAAGUUUUUCGGGGUGCUAGGCCCGGCCCAGCACCCCGAAAAAACUAUUCAGGAGUAUCAGACCCGGGACGAAAACGUGGGUCCUCCUGCAUGGCACACCGAUAGCAUUACCAUAGUGGUUCAACUGCAAAUAGGAUAUCCAGCCAGCCACGUUUCCCUAUAUAUGAAAAACAUUAACUUUCGGAUAUAUAACUAAAUGUUCAAAAGUUCUGUUUAAUAAGAAUAUAUUUUUAAUUAUUGUCGAAAAACGUGCAUGAACGUGAUCAUUUUGCAUGCAUUUUAAAAUGUGCAUGCGAUCAUUUUAUGCCUUAUCAAUGAAAGCAGUUUUAAGUCUACAUAGGUAUGUUUAAAAUUGCUAAAAACGUAACGAAGUACUCGUAGACACAACAGGUUUUUUU